CAACCUCAACUCAUAUGGGACUACCCCCUGAAUUUAAGCAUAUUAAUUAGGGGAGGAAAAGAAACUAACAAGGAUUUUCUUAGUAGCGGCGAGCGAAAAGAAAUCAGUUCAGCACUAAGUCACUUUGUCUAUAUGGCAAAUGUGAGAUGCAGUGUACGGAACAUCAACAUUCUAGUAUGAGAAGUUAACGAUUUAAGUCCUUCUUAAAUGAGGCCAUUUACCCAUAGAGGGUGCCAGGCCCGUAUAACGUUAAUGAUUACUAGAUGGUGUUUCCAAAGAGUCGUGUUGCUUGAUAGUGCAGCACUAAGUGGGUGGUAAACUCCAUCUAAAACUAAAUAUAACCAUGAGACCGAUAGUAAACAAGUACCGUGAGGGAAAGUUGAAAAGAACUCUGAAUAGAGAGUUAAAUAGUACGUGAAACUGCUUAGAGGUUAAGCCCGAUGAACCUGAAUAUCCGUUAUGGAAAAUUCAUCAUUAGAAUUGUAAUAUUUUAAACAAUAUUAUAAUAAUAGUGUGCAUUUUUUCCAUAUAAGGACAUUGUAAUCUAUUAGCAUAAAUAUUUAUCAUAAAAUUAUGUCUGAUUGCUUAUUUGAAUUAUAUGCUUGGCAUUUUAACAUAAAAUAAAAGAUAUAAAUUUGAUAAAGUGCUGAUAGAUUUAUAUGAUUACAGUGCGUUAAUUUUUUCGGAAUUAUAUAAUGGCAUAAUUAUCAUUGAUAUUUGUGUUUAUUAUAUGCAUUUGUAUGAUUAACAAUGCGAAAGAUUCAGGAUACCU
Molecule: non-coding RNA, 772 nt
Filed under: Drosophila virilis
Lineage: Eukaryota; Metazoa; Arthropoda; Insecta; Diptera; Drosophilidae
Description: Eukaryotic large subunit ribosomal RNA
Rfam family: Eukaryotic large subunit ribosomal RNA
Source: Rfam by way of RNAcentral